RNAcentral lists this ribosomal RNA (253 nucleotides) under uncultured bacterium. Its description in RNAcentral is "partial 16S ribosomal RNA". It matches the Rfam family "Bacterial small subunit ribosomal RNA", at positions 524 to 776 of the family's 1533-position model. The record is from RNAcentral.
UACGAAGGGGGCUAGCGUUGUUCGGAUUUACUGGGCGUAAAGCGCACGUAGGCGGGUUGUUAAGUCAGGGGUGAAAUCCUGGAGCUCAACUCCAGAACUGCCUUUGAUACUGGCAACCUAGAGGCUGGAAGAGGUUAGUGGAAUUCCCAGUGUAGAGGUGAAAUUCGUAGAUAUUGGGAAGAACACCAGUGGCGAAGGCGGCUAACUGGUCCAGAUCUGACGCUGAGGUGCGAAAGCGUGGGAAGCAAACAGG